UACAGAGGGUGCGAGCGUUAAUCGGAAUUACUGGGCGUAAAGCGCACGUAGGUGGCUUGGCAAGUCGGGUGUGAAGUCCCCGGGCUCAACCUGGGAACUGCAUUCGAGACUGCCUUGCUAGAGUAUGGGAGAGGGAAGUGGAAUUUCCGGUGUAGCGGUGAAAUGCGUAGAUAUCGGAAGGAACAUCAGUGGCGAAGGCGACUUGCUGGACCAAUACUGACACUCAGGUGCGAAGGCGUGGGGAGCAAACAGG
This 253-nucleotide ribosomal RNA is filed under the name uncultured bacterium. RNAcentral's name for it is "partial 16S ribosomal RNA". It matches the Rfam family "Bacterial small subunit ribosomal RNA", at positions 524 to 776 of the family's 1533-position model. The record is from RNAcentral.